ACUCCAGUAGCGGCGGGAGCAGCAGCGUUAGGCCGGGGUGUGGCUGCACCUCUGCGAAGGCUGUCGUGCCCCGUGCAGCUGCGGCGUUCGGGUGGGGGAGGGGAGGCUCACACCCUGCGGCGGCUUAAGCCUGGAUUUACGCACUGGAGGAGGGAAUUAGCCCUGAGAUGUCAGCCCUGUGCCCCUGGCGCUGUCCACCCGGACGCCCGCGGAGCGCCAGGCGCCGCAGCGGACCGCGCGCGCACUGAUUGCCGCAGCUACUCUCCCUGCCGUCGCCGCCCGGGACCGGGUGACAUUGAGGUUUUCGUCUAUCGCCGCUGGGCCGAUAGGGCUUCUUUUUAAGAUUUGGCUUUCCAACUCCCACUUUGCAGUUGUGUCAGCCAAUCACGACAGCUUCCCAGACUUCCGUGCAAGUGCCUGCUUUGAGGCCAAGGUGGCCAUAAAUGGCAGCUCCUCAGGCUCCUCCACAAUCUCUGGUUUCUUAUGUUUCUCCAUGAGCUCAGCUUUUUCAUCAACUCCAAUGCUUCAAGCCGAAGUCAUUAGUGAAUGUUCUACAAUCCUUCAGCUGCAGCUCCAGACCUUCACUCCUCCAGCUUCUCCUACAUCCAUCUAACCCUCAAUUCCUACAUUAAAUCUCUUUAUUCCAGAAUAC
This 652-nucleotide long non-coding RNA is filed under the name Homo sapiens (human). RNAcentral's name for it is "non-protein coding lnc-ENOPH1-3:9". Lineage: Eukaryota; Metazoa; Chordata; Mammalia; Primates; Hominidae. The record is from RNAcentral.